Molecule: non-coding RNA, 108 nt
Organism: Acanthosepion pharaonis
Lineage: Eukaryota; Metazoa; Mollusca; Cephalopoda; Sepiida; Sepiidae
Source: the annotation of a GenBank genome assembly
ACAGCCAUAUAGCCUUGAAACACCGGUUCUCAUACAUUCACCAAAGUUAAGCAACAUUGAGCCUGGUCAAUACCUAGAUGGGUGUCUGUGAAUACCAGGUGCUGUAAG